CGUCGGGGGUGGCUUACGUUAUUAAGGUAGGCUGUCGUGGUUUGUGGACCACGGUGGUAAUUGAGGCAGAACUUUUUGGCUUAGUUAAAAUGCAGGAGUUUCAAGAGUCUUGUAGUGGUAGGUUCACUUCAGCUGUGAAAACCUCUAGGUUUGAAAACCUGAGGAGACUUAGGUGUUCAUGAGGUCACGAGGCGGCCACGUGCAGCCCUGGCAGCCGAGUCUAACAGGCCGAGCGCGCUCGGGUCUUGGGCCCUCGGGCAGAGGCUCAAAGCACAUGGCGACUUCGGCAAAGGUCGUGAAUUCCGCUGUCGGUGUCCAGUGGCCAUCUUGAAACUGCUUCGACGGUACUCCCCCGUUUAGAUCUUAGAUCUAGGACGCAGAAGUAAUUGUUCCGAUGGAGGAUAGAAAACGUGACCUGGUAAUCCAGAAAUGCCAUGUGGUAUGGGUGAAGUCCUGUUUGUUUAGAAGCCUGUGUCGCACUGCCAAAAGGUGAUUUUAAAUCUCAACAGCUUGGGUAUUAAGUGGCGAAUGAUAUUCUGGAAACUGUCAGGGUGGUGUGUUCGAUAUAGGUCUGAAUUUUUUGCCUGUAGCCUUUAAGUAGGGAAUAGGUGAGCACUUCCUUGCUUGCUAUAAUUAAGUAAAAUGCUUGCUUUGACUGGAGAAUCCGUGUUCUCUGACUAAAUGAUAAGGAGGUGGAAAGGUAUUUGUUACUGCAAAUAAUAAAGACUACCUCUUAGGGUAAGAACUGGUGUUGAAAUAGUAUGAAUGAGUAUCCUUGUGAGGUACUACGGUAUUUGGAGGGAAACAGCAUUAAAGGCAGAUACCCCUAAGGGACAGCACAGUCAUUUUGUACCACACAAAAGAUUAAGACUACUAUGUAAGGUGAACAAGUAUGCACUUUAUUCACACAAAUGUGCACAGAACACUUGUGUCUUUUAAAAGUCACAUUUAAUGCUUAACAAGAAAAAAUUAGCUAUAAUAAAGACAUACAUUAUGAACCAAGUAUUCAAGUUUGAGCAAACUGUAGGCUGCCUGUUCACUCUCUGUCUUUAAAGUGUCCGGCCUCUGGUUUUAAUAAAAUUUCAAUAUAAAUGUUCCUUGCAUCUGCACUAUAGUUUAAUUAGAAAGGUGGCCUGUGCGACAUUUCAGUAGAGAUAAAUUUCCUCUCCUGUAUUGCACAUUUUCUCAAGCCCUUGUGCAGGUGUGCAUUGUGUAGCUCUGUCAUCUCUGUAAAUGGGAAUGCUUUAAAAAAAUUCCUUUAUCAAAAAUCUUGAGCUUUCAGAAAAGAUUUAAUGUUCUGCCUGAUAACAGCAUUGCAGUUCUGUACACUAUUAAAGCACCUUUAUGAUAGCACCAGUUUUUUACAAAAAGGACACAAGUGGAUGCAGUGGAGAAAGUAUUGAAGUCCCGUUCAUGUGGAUUUAGCCUUUGAAGAGGAUUACUUAACUGAUCUUGAUCCUAAAGUUCACACUGACCUUUUUACCUGUCUUAAUGCAUCUAUUUCUUGGAUAUACAAAAACUGUUUAAACCACCUAAGGGCUCUUCAUGUUAGCAAUCAUAAUCUGGUGGUGAUUGCUUAGGGAGCCUGAGGGGCAUGCCUUCUGUGUUUGAGCAGAGCUUUUUUGCUUUGCUAUCAGGAAUGUCCUGAAAGGGUACAUGCUAAGCAGCUGUCCCUUACUGGUUUGGGAAAUAGCCAAAGGGGAAAAUGGCCUGCAGACCGCAGUGGAGGGAGGAAAGAACAUUAUUAGUACUGGGUCAGUACUGGAUCCCACGGGCUUACCUUGGCCUCUGGGUGUGUUUCUUACCAACCUUUUGUAAAUUAUCAGUGAGGUGCAUAGUCCCUUAAUGCAGGGCCUGGCACAUAGGUGGUAUAUGAAUUAAACCAGUGGAUACAAGUUAGUUUUUUUCCCACUACAUGAGCAGAGAAAGCUUUUUUAAUAGUUAUUUUUACUAGCUGGGACAGGACAGUAGAAAUCUACAUGUUUUGGUCAUUACAAGAAAGUUGGCAAUAGAUGGCACUCUUCAGUCAUGGUACAGCAAAUUGGCAUGAUGCCAAGGAAAAAUAAAGAAAGCUGUAAAUCUUAGGGUAGCUGAAAGUAACUGCUAGAGGAUGUUAACAAAUAAGAUGGAUAAAUUAAGUUGUACAUCCCAACAAUUUGAAGGCAUUCCUGACUCUCUGGUAUUCCAAAUUUUGGUAGGUAACUAGAAUAUGUUGCAUGGUACAAAGGCUUCAUUCAGGAAUGUCUUGUGACUGAUCCUGUUCCAGUUUGGGUUUAUAAUGGAUUCCUUCACCUUUUUGGCCCUUGAUUUCCUCAUUUAUCAAAGGCUACAGAGAUUUCAUUGUGGAAAUUUCUCAGUCUUGAAGAAAAUCUGAGCUUAAUUACACAAUACUGUUUUUAAUAAACUGUAUUGAUCCAAUUAUAAACUCGAAAGCCAAAUGAAGACCGCCUUAUUGCACAACUGACAUACAGUAAUCUCUGGAGAGUGAUGAGAAUAAAGAUUCAACAAUGCUAA
Long non-coding RNA from Neogale vison (American mink), 2514 nucleotides. RefSeq lists it as uncharacterized. The transcript has 3 exons. Lineage: Eukaryota; Metazoa; Chordata; Mammalia; Carnivora; Mustelidae. The record is from RefSeq and is a predicted model, not a curated record.